RNAcentral lists this unclassified non-coding RNA (562 nucleotides) under Anabaena sp. 7F12. RNAcentral describes it as "16S-23S ribosomal RNA intergenic spacer". The stretch from base 278 to 350 matches the Rfam family "tRNA". Lineage: Bacteria; Bacillati; Cyanobacteriota; Cyanophyceae; Nostocales; Nostocaceae. The record is from RNAcentral.
UAGGGAAACCUAAUCCAUUUAAAAAUCAUUUGCAAACACCAAAUAAAUUCUAAUUUGGUCUAUCCUAGGUCGGUCGCAGGUAUUGAUUGAUUCUUUCAAACUAUGAUUGGUUCGCUGAGGGGCUAUUACCUCAGGUGGUUAAAGCGCACCCCUGAUAAGGGUGAGGUCCCUGGUUCGAGUCCAGGAUGGCCCACCUGAAAGUAAUUAUUAAUUGCUAAUUCGUAAUUCGUAUUUAUUUAAUUACGGAUUAAAAAUUAUGAAUUACAAAUUAUUGGAUGGGGGUUUAGCUCAGUUGGUAAAGCGCCUGCUUUGCAAGCAGGAUGUCACCGGUUCAAGUCCGCUAACCUCCACAUUGGAAAAAAAAUCACCAACUGACAAGGAGUCAAACUGCUGGGUUCAACCAGCCAGAACCUUGAAAACUGCAUAGUAACGCGAAAAAAAGCAGGCAAACAAAACUGAGUACUGAGUGAUAAGUACCGAGUGAUGAGUGAAAGACUCAAAGCGGAGUAUAAAAGAGUUCAAAACAGCAGAAAAGUUUGCAAGUGGAAACCAAAGAGAAAGU